UCGGACCCAGGGGGACUGCGGU
RNAcentral lists this microRNA (22 nucleotides) under Bos taurus (domestic cattle). Its description in RNAcentral is "bta-miR-2413". The record is from miRBase by way of RNAcentral. Lineage: Eukaryota; Metazoa; Chordata; Mammalia; Artiodactyla; Bovidae.